GGUGGGUUUGUAAGUCAGAUGUGAAAGCCUCCUGUUCAACGGGAGAAUUGCAUCUGAAACUGUGAGUCUUGAGUGUAGGAGGGGAGAAUGGAACUUCUGGUGGAGCGGUGAAAUGCGUAGAUAUCAGAGGGAACGCCGGCGGCGAAAGCGAUUCUCUGGCCUAUUACUGACACUCAGUGUGCGAAAGCUAGGGGAGCAAACGGGAUUAGAUACCCCGGUAGUCCUAGCCGUAAACGAUGGGCACUAAGUAGAGGGGUUU
Molecule: ribosomal RNA, 259 nt
Filed under: uncultured Planctomycetota bacterium
Lineage: Bacteria; Pseudomonadati; Planctomycetota
Description: uncultured planctomycete partial 16S ribosomal RNA
Rfam family: Bacterial small subunit ribosomal RNA
Source: RNAcentral